UGUGCACCGGUGGGGUCCCUCAGCCUGGCCUGUGCCCUCUCAAAAUCCGGGAUCCCUUGGGGGAUGUUGGAGAGCCGGUUUUGGCUCGAUCCCUGCAGGCCAGGCUGAGGGACCUCACCGGUGCAUG
This 127-nucleotide microRNA precursor is filed under the name Myotis davidii. RNAcentral describes it as "mir-9193 microRNA precursor family". It matches the Rfam family "mir-9193 microRNA precursor family". The record is from Rfam by way of RNAcentral. Lineage: Eukaryota; Metazoa; Chordata; Mammalia; Chiroptera; Vespertilionidae.